Anarrhichthys ocellatus (wolf-eel) is the source of this 2159-nucleotide long non-coding RNA. RefSeq lists it as uncharacterized. The record is from RefSeq and is a predicted model, not a curated record. The transcript has 3 exons. NCBI's taxonomy places the organism in Eukaryota, Metazoa, Chordata, Actinopteri, Perciformes, Anarhichadidae.
CAUGUGACGUCAUUCUAUGCGCCAGCUGUGGCCGUUUGGAGACCGAAUGCGUCACUGCGGCUGCGACGAGGCUGUCCCAUUUAGAAGACUCCUUCCAAUGUAUAAAUGAAUAAAUACAAGAAUAAAUACAUGAUGAACGUGUGUUAGUGAGGUAGGCGGUCCGAACCUCAUUCUUAAGCAGGAUUGGUCGAGUCGGGGAGCAAGACAGAAGCAACCGAUUCUUAGCGAGUCAUCUCUGUGGACGAGGUCAAAAACUAUCUAGCAGCACUCAUGGCUUCGACCGGGCGGCCGCUGGCAGACCUGCUGCGGGAUGUUUUCCAUGCUAGAUCCCUUGUGUAGACUAAAUUACUAUCGCCGGUGAUGAGUGAUUUAUUUAUUCAUGCUGUGCGUCAGAUCGCAUUCCUGUAAAGUGUGCGAUGAUAUCGUUAGCCAACAUGUGUCUUCUGCAACGUCCUUAUUCUCUGAUUAUAGCUUAUCCUCUUCACUUGAUUCUAGCCGAGGUUUCUAGACCGUUUGGUCCAUAUAUUGGAGGGAGAAGGAGGCGAACUGUUGCUGCGCCUGCACGGCUUCAUUCGUACACUCACUCUUUCUGUUGUAUUGAGGACAAACCGAUAAGCCAGAGACAGACUUGCUGCUGCAGGACUAGGGGGAAACGUCUUACAUUCCAAGGUAGUCAUACUGAUCCAGAUGACUUUAGAGAAUUUAUUUUAGAGGCAUAUCCAAAACUCAGACAAGGGAGGAUUUGAGUUGCUCAAAAUCUCUGGAACAACACGAAGUCGCCAACUGAUCAUCAUACCAUGUCCCAAUGAGGGUUACCAUGUGAGACAUUUGAAAGAUCCACAAACACAGAUUGGUCACGCUACAAUUUUCAUCCGACCACUCCAAAGAAUCCUGAAUCUGGAACCCUGCAUGUCAACCAGAAUGCAGUAAUGAGCUAGUUGGACCACCUCAGAAAUGUGUGACGUGUGGAGAGGAGUUCCCUCUUACAAGAAUCAAGGCUCCCAGUGAUGAGUGCGUGAGGUAUUGCUCUACAGAACUAAAACGUCACAUUUGUCAAGCACUCAAGUAGUCGUACAUCAGACAUGAAGCAUUAGGCUCUGGAGUCUGCCAAAAGAUGUAAAGCAUGUUGAAUGUGGAUGAUCCUGUAUGAUCCUGAAUAUUGGUCUUGAGGGAAAGUUGAAUUUGAAUGGAUUUAUUCUAUUCUAUUCAUAUGACCAUUCUUUUCUGGUUGCAGUGUUUUUGUGAAUGUGUAAUAUAAAAUAUACUGGCCCCAAUAACAAAACGUGCUUCUCUUUACCCAAGACCAUCACAGAGCAGUGGUGAGGUCGAAAUUGUGGUGACCACAGAAAGUGCCUCCCGAAGUGAAGGUAGAUUUGUGAGCAUGUUGACAAGACUACAAGUGAGACAACAAGGGCCAGCAACACAAACUAUUGCGUGCCACCUCUCAGGGACGUGUGGCUGCUCCUGAGAUAGUUGACCUAGAUCCCACUGAUUUCUACAGGAUCACCCAAAGUAUUCAGUGGCUGAUUGAUAUUUCCUUACUAAUUCUGUAUGAAAGUUUGAAUGUCUAUGUCCUUUACAUUCUGCACUGUCAAUGUUCUUUCACUUUUCUUUUUUAAUUGAAGUACCAGGAGGAACUCUUCUUUUUGAGGGGGAACAAGAUCAUCUGACUCCCUCCACUUGGCAUUACCUUUUGGAGAGUGACUUCUUUGUUGUUGCUGGCCAAAUGAUUGGUCAUUCCUCCAUAAUGGGCCAUGCCUUGGAGGACUCAGCCCAGCUAUCCUGCAUGUGCUCUUUGGUGGAUCCCCAGAAGAAGCCAUAAUAGAUAUUAAGGACUGUGCUGACCUUGACACAAAGUGGUAAAAUACAUUUUUCCAGUAAGAUUUGAAUGAUAAAAAUUCGGGGCAAGGACAAUAAAAGUAAUACCUGAUGUCAGAAAUUUUUCUCAUACAUUUCUACCGACAAAAUAUCUAAUAACUGAAUAUUUAAAGUGUUAUUUGAUUACGAUCAUAAGCCUGCUACAAACAAAUAUUAUUGAGUUGGGUUAAAAAGGAGCACAGCAGUCAUCAGUUAGUCCUGUCUGUUUUAAUCAGCAAAAUGUGUAUUUGUGAUUCAAUGAAGAGAAAAACAUUUUCUCUAAUAAACUUUUUAUGUUUUUG